Molecule: transfer RNA, 72 nt
Filed under: Ictidomys tridecemlineatus (thirteen-lined ground squirrel)
Lineage: Eukaryota; Metazoa; Chordata; Mammalia; Rodentia; Sciuridae
Description: Spermophilus tridecemlineatus (thirteen-lined ground squirrel) tRNA
Rfam family: tRNA
About the family: Transfer RNA (tRNA) molecules are approximately 80 nucleotides in length. Their secondary structure includes four short double-helical elements and three loops (D, anti-codon, and T loops).
Source: Rfam by way of RNAcentral
UGAGUUGUGACUCAGUGGUAGAGCACUUGCUUAGCACACGUGAGGCACUGGGUUCAAUCCCCAGCACCACAC